CAGCAGUAAGAAUAUUGGGCAAUGGAGGCAAUCUGAAGGCACCCUUGCCCGGUGGAAGAAGACGGCCUAUGGGUUGGAAACUGGUUUUCCAGGGAAAUAAACCCCCGUCCGGGACCGGGCUUGAAUGGACCUUAAGAAUAAGCCCCGGCUAACAUCGGGG
RNAcentral lists this ribosomal RNA (160 nucleotides) under uncultured bacterium. Its description in RNAcentral is "partial 16S ribosomal RNA". The record is from RNAcentral.